UGGCAUGCAGAUCUACUCACUUGUCGC
RNAcentral lists this non-coding RNA (27 nucleotides) under Homo sapiens (human). Lineage: Eukaryota; Metazoa; Chordata; Mammalia; Primates; Hominidae. The record is from RNAcentral.